Molecule: ribosomal RNA, 500 nt
Filed under: uncultured bacterium
Lineage: Bacteria
Description: bacterial SSU rRNA
Rfam family: Bacterial small subunit ribosomal RNA
Source: RNAcentral
CUAGGAUGAACGCUGGCGGCGUGCCUAAUACAUGCAAGUCGAACGAGGUAGCAAUACCGAGUGGCGAAACGGGUGAGUAACACGUAGGUAACCUGCCUUACAGUUUGGGAUACCCUGGCGAAAGCUAGGCUAAUACCGAAUAAUUGGAUUGGAGGCAUCUCCGACCUCUAAAAGGGGCCCUUAAAGCCUCGCUGAAUGAUGGACCUGCGGCGCAUUAGCUAGUUGGUGAGAUAAUAGCCCACCAAGGCGAGGAUGCGCAGCCGACCUGAGAGGGUGAACGGCCACACUGGAACUGAGACACGGUCCAGACUCCUACGGGAGGCAGCAGUAGGGAGUUUUCGGCAAUGGGGGCAACCCUGACCGAGCAACGCCGCGUGAAUGAUUGAAGGUCUUCGGAUUGUAAAGUUCUGUUAUAAGGGAAAAAUGAUAGGGUGAGGAAAUGCUCUCUAUUUGAUGGUACCUUAUUAGAAAGCCACGGCUAACUACGUGCCAGCCGCUGC